Molecule: transfer RNA, 71 nt
Filed under: Verasper moseri (barfin flounder)
Lineage: Eukaryota; Metazoa; Chordata; Actinopteri; Pleuronectiformes; Pleuronectidae
Description: tRNA-Asp
Rfam family: tRNA
About the family: Transfer RNA (tRNA) molecules are approximately 80 nucleotides in length. Their secondary structure includes four short double-helical elements and three loops (D, anti-codon, and T loops).
Source: RNAcentral
AAGAUACUAGUAAAAAUAUAUAACACUGCCUUGUCAAGCCAGAAUUGUGGGUUUAAACCCCGCGUAUUUUG